AAGUUUGUGAGGUGAUAGUGAAAGGGAAGACUUGAACAAGUUCCAAACUAUAAAAAAAUAAAGACAAGACAGUUUUUUAUGUUUUAGAUUUAAUAAAUUAAUAUAUUUGUAAAUAUAUAUUCAUAAUUUACAACACAAUAUAAAUAUACAAAGCACCACAAUGAAAUCACAGAUCACAUACUAAAAAUUCGUUUCAAAUUGAAAAUCACAUUAUGGGAAGGAUCACAGAAUAUACAUUAAAUUUUUCUUAUCGUUUAUUUUUAGACACCACAAAAACAUUCAUCACAAAAUAUAUAUAAUAUUCUGUGAGAUCAAACAAUUUAUACAAAUGCCACAAAGAACAUUGAAAACAGAUUAUACAUCAAGUUGUACAUACUUUACACGAGUACAUUACAUAACAAUUAUAACUAUAAAGCACUUUAAAAACAAACAAAUAAAUAUUUACUUUAACUAUUCAUCUGCACUCUUGACAGGUUAAACAGAUCAAGAAUAUAUUUAUAUAAGUGACCAUUCACAGUAUAAAGUUAACAAUCUGACAUUAUGUGGUCAAAAAUAGUUGACCAGCAGAUUGAAGUCUUCCUCUCACAAUUGUUUAUUUUUCUUUUCUAUUAUCAAAUUAGAACACUACUUCCAAGUCAGGAGAAUAUACUUAUUGUAAUUAUUUUUAAAUGAGGUAGGUCUAAUUUCCUGGAGGUUUAACCUCAUGAUUGAAACAAUCACAGGAGAAAAUAGCCCUACCUCUGUGGGAAAUUAUAUGCAGUCUCCCAACAAUAUCUGGUAAGCUACAACAUAGGAGCUAAAUCCAUCAUCUAGAUAUCAUUCCAGUUGUGAAUCUGCGACUCUUUUCACAAAAACUCUUAUGAUUAAAACAUAUCAUAAGUUAUACUGAAAUGUGCAUGACUUACAAGUAAUUUUUCAAAGAUAUUAAGAAAAUAGAGCUACCAAACAUUUUACCAUAUGACAUAUCAAAAACAGUGUAGGUAAAAUUAUCAUUUUCUAUCUUAUAAAAACAAAAGUUUGUGUGUUCAGUGAAAGCGUAAAUAUGAUCAUCAUUUCAAUCACUUUCUUCAGCCUCUUGAUGAGAUCCUUAUUGUAUACAAACAUCAGCUUUCUAUACAAAUAUUCAUUUAGUAUAAUAACAGUAUCACAAUUAAUUGCACAAUAUGUUGUAGAAAUUUAAAUGCACCAAUUCAAAUACAAAACUUAGUAAAUGAGUGGAUGAAAAUCUAAAUAUAUAUAUAAAACAAAUUUCAGUGGUAGGAGGGUGUUCAAGGGGUUGUUACCUCCACUUUUUUGGAUGAUCAAUGCUUUUGAAUGG
Molecule: long non-coding RNA, 1318 nt
Filed under: Mytilus galloprovincialis (Mediterranean mussel)
Lineage: Eukaryota; Metazoa; Mollusca; Bivalvia; Mytilida; Mytilidae
Source: RNAcentral